This 825-nucleotide long non-coding RNA is filed under the name Gouania willdenowi (blunt-snouted clingfish). Its description in RNAcentral is "lncRNA (ENSGWIG00000017786.1)". Lineage: Eukaryota; Metazoa; Chordata; Actinopteri; Blenniiformes; Gobiesocidae. The record is from RNAcentral.
CCUGUGUGUGAGUGUUAGUAUGUGUGUGUGUGUGUGUGUGUGUGUGUGUGUGUGUGUGUGUGUGUGUGUGUGUGUGUGUGUGUGUGUGUGUGUGUGUGUGUGUGUGUGUGUGUGUGUGUGUGUGUGUGUGAAGGUGUCUAAAGCUUGAAUCAUCAACAUCAUUUGAUUUGAAACAAUGGCUGUGAACGAUGCCAGUUCAGAUCAUCGUAAGUUCCAUGAUUCACCAGGAGAUGUGGAUGGAAGACAAACUGCAGGCUCACCGACUGUCAGGUGUGAAGAUCUGGAUAAAGGAUGAUUCCUACAAUGCAGAAUCUCCAAGAAAAGCCAGUAUUACCUCUGCCAAGGAGUAUAUGAAUAUAACUAAUCUGGAACGGGCAUGUCAGAGAGCACAAAAAGUACAACUUCCUGUUCGCGCACCGGUUGAAGGCGGGGACCAACAUGGCUACCUCAGCAGUGACCGUUGAUGAGGACAAAGACGUCACCACACCAAUAUUAUCUCCUUAGGUAGAAGGUAACAGACCUCGUGGUCAUACCUGUCAAUAAUGCUGUUGAGCUUGUUUCCCACGAGUGGUCCUCUUUUAGCCUUGUAACACAGGCCGAUGUCUCAUCUAUGGUAACCAAAAUGAAGCCCUCUUUCUGUGUGUCUGAUGUUCUGCCCUGUAGAUUUUUUGUAAAAGUCUUUGAUGCCAUUGGCCCCUGGGUUACCAAUCUGAUCAACCUUUCCCUGUCAACUGGUGUUUUCCCCAGUUCUUUCAAACACGCAACUGUAGAACCACUUCUCAAAAAGCCCAAUCUGGACCCAGCAGAUUUAAAAAACUUCAGGCC